Molecule: long non-coding RNA, 855 nt
Filed under: Mytilus galloprovincialis (Mediterranean mussel)
Lineage: Eukaryota; Metazoa; Mollusca; Bivalvia; Mytilida; Mytilidae
Source: RNAcentral
AAGGCUCAUCUGCAGGUUUUUUGAAAUUAGUAGAUCCACCAUCGGAUGAAAGUGAAAGUGACGAGGAGACCGCUGAAUAUUUUUCAGACAUAUUAAGAGGAUUCAGUGAAAGUGAUGACAUUUUGGAAUGUUUACACAACAAACAUGACAACGCAUAUAUUUAUAAUGUAGAACAAGGUACAAUUGAACAGAGAGAUAAUCCUGAAUGGCAAAAACAUCAGUGAACAUAGAAAAUGUAGAAUAACUGCAUCCGUGAUUUCUAACAUUAUGAAAUGUAACUUCGAUCAACUAAGUUCAAAUCAUUACUUGGUAAAAAAACUUUCUUGGAACAUCAAUAUCUUUCCGCUCAGAUGCAACAGAAUUUGGAAUUAAGAUGGAAAAGGUUGCAAAAACACAAUACUUUGACAGGUUCAAGACUCAUCACAAGAAAAGCAGCUUUAAAGAUUGUGGUUUAUUUGUGUCAAAAGCAAGCCCAUUCUAAUUAGGUGUUAGUCCUGAUGGUGUUGUUAAGUGUAAAUGCUGUGGUACACGUCUUGUGGAAAUUAAAUGUACAUUUAAAUAUGCUGACAAAACACCAAUGGAAGUGGCUAAUUCACAAACUUAUCACGUUCAAAACAUAAAUGGUGAAAUUAAACUAAAAACAUCUUCACCAUGGUACUAUCAGAUUCAGACGCAACUAGGAGUGUGUGGCAGGGACAUUUGUGAUUUUGUUUUGUUUACUUCAAAAGUACUAUUUCAGUUGAGACUUAAGUUUGAUCCUGAUUUUUACAAGCAGAUUGUGGACAGGUCUCAUGUGUUCUUUGACAUUGUAUUUCAUAAUUAUUUUAAUUAAAUAAUGAAUAUGCAUUAAACUCA